GCAGUGAUGGGUCAGUGGUAGAAUUCCUUCUUUCCACGCAGGAGACCCAGGUUCGAUUCCUGGCCAGUACA
RNAcentral lists this transfer RNA (71 nucleotides) under Loxodonta africana (African savanna elephant). It matches the Rfam family "tRNA". From Rfam's summary of the family: Transfer RNA (tRNA) molecules are approximately 80 nucleotides in length. Their secondary structure includes four short double-helical elements and three loops (D, anti-codon, and T loops). The record is from Rfam by way of RNAcentral. Lineage: Eukaryota; Metazoa; Chordata; Mammalia; Proboscidea; Elephantidae.